UACGUAGGGGGCAAGCGUUGUCCGGAUUUAUUGGGCGUAAAGAGCGUGUAGGCGGCUCGGUAAGUCCGCUCUGAAAGCCCGGGGCUCAACCCCGGGAGGCGGGCGGAUACUGUCGAGCUAGAGUCCGGAAGAGGCGAGUGGAAUUCCUGGUGUAGCGGUGAAAUGCGCAGAUAUCAGGAGGAACACCAAUGGCGAAGGCAGCUCGCUGGGACGGUACUGACGCUGAGACGCGAAAGCGUGGGGAGCAAACAGG
Molecule: ribosomal RNA, 253 nt
Filed under: uncultured bacterium
Lineage: Bacteria
Description: partial 16S ribosomal RNA
Rfam family: Bacterial small subunit ribosomal RNA
Source: RNAcentral